RNAcentral lists this ribosomal RNA (253 nucleotides) under uncultured bacterium. RNAcentral's name for it is "partial 16S ribosomal RNA". It matches the Rfam family "Bacterial small subunit ribosomal RNA", at positions 524 to 776 of the family's 1533-position model. The record is from RNAcentral.
UACGUAGGGCGCAAGCGUUAUCCGGAAUUAUUGGGCGUAAAGAGCUCGUAGGCGGUUUGUCGCGUCUGCCGUGAAAGUCCGGGGCUCAACUCCGGAUCUGCGGUGGGUACGGGCAGACUAGAGUGAUGUAGGGGAGACUGGAAUUCCUGGUGUAGCGGUGAAAUGCGCAGAUAUCUGGAGGAACACCGGUGGCGAAGGCGGCAUCCUGGACCAACACUGACGCUGAGGAGCGAAAGCCAGGGGAGCAAGCGGG